RNAcentral lists this ribosomal RNA (355 nucleotides) under uncultured bacterium. RNAcentral describes it as "bacterial SSU rRNA". It matches the Rfam family "Bacterial small subunit ribosomal RNA", at positions 527 to 881 of the family's 1533-position model. The record is from RNAcentral.
GUAGGGGGCAAGCGUUAUCCGGAUUUACUGGGUGUAAAGGGAGCGUAGACGGCGCAGCAAGUCUGAUGUGAAAGGCAGGGGCUUAACCCCUGGACUGCAUUGGAAACUGCUGUGCUUGAGUGCCGGAGGGGUAAGCGGAAUUCCUAGUGUAGCGGUGAAAUGCGUAGAUAUUAGGAGGAACACCAGUGGCGAAGGCGGCUUACUGGACAGUAACUGACGUUGAGGCUCGAAAGCGUGGGGAGCAAACAGGAUUAGAUACCCUGGUAGUCCACGCCCUAAACGAUGACUACUAGGUGUCGGGUGGCAAAGCCAUUCGGUGCCGCAGCAAACGCAAUAAGUAGUCCACCUGGGGAGU